RNAcentral lists this ribosomal RNA (440 nucleotides) under uncultured bacterium. Its description in RNAcentral is "partial 16S ribosomal RNA". It matches the Rfam family "Bacterial small subunit ribosomal RNA", at positions 339 to 795 of the family's 1533-position model. The record is from RNAcentral.
CUACGGGGUGCACCAGUGAGGAAUAUUGCACAAUGGGGGAAACCCUGAUGCAGCAACGCCGCGUGGAGGAUGACGCAUUUCGGUGUGUAAACUCCUUUUAUAUGUCAAGAAAAUGACGGUAGCAUAUGAAUAAGCACCGGCUAACUCCGUGCCAGCAGCCGCGGUAAUACGGAGGGUGCAAGCGUUGAUUCGGAAUCACUGGGCGUAAAGGACGCGUAGGCGGGUUUUCAAGUCAGGUGUGAAAUCCUAUGGCUCAACCAUAGAACUGCACUUGAAACUGUAAACCUAGAGUAUGGAAGGGGCAGAUGGAAUUAGUGGUGUAGGGGUAAAAUCCGUAGAUAUCACUAGGAAUACCAAAAGCGAAGGCGAUCUGCUGGGACAUUACUGACGCUAAGGCGUGAAAGCGUGGGGAGCAAACAGGAUUAGAUACCCUAGUAGUC